AUUGAACGCUGGCGGCAUGCCUUACACAUGCAAGUCGAACGGUAACGGGCCUUCGGGUGCCGACGAGUGGCGAACGGGUGAGUAAUACAUCGGAACGUGCCCGAUCGUGGGGGAUAACGAGGCGAAAGCUUUGCUAAUACCGCAUACGAUCUACGGAUGAAAGCAGGGGACCGCAAGGCCUUGCGCGGACGGAGCGGCAGAUGGCAGAUUAGGUAGUUGGUGGGAUAAAAGCUUACCAAGACGACGAUCUGUAGCUGGUCUGAGAGGAUGAUCAGCCACACUGGGACUGAGACACGGCCCAGACUCCUACGGGAGGCAGCAGUGGGGAAUUUUGGACAAUGGGCGCAAGCCUGAUCCAGCCAUGCCGCGUGCAGGAUGAAGGCCUUCGGGUUGUAAACUGCUUUUGUACGGAACGAAAAGCCUUCUUUUAAUACAGGAGGGUCAUGACGGUACCGUAAGAAUAAGCACCGGCUAACUACGUG
Molecule: ribosomal RNA, 482 nt
Filed under: uncultured bacterium
Lineage: Bacteria
Description: partial 16S ribosomal RNA
Rfam family: Bacterial small subunit ribosomal RNA
Source: RNAcentral